AGUAUAUUUUUUAUUAGUCAUAGCAUACUCAAAAUGUCACUUGUCAGAAUUAAAUUAAGUGAAAAGUAGUUGUUAAUUGCAUACAUGUUUUUACAUUACGACCAUUUUCACAAUAAUCUUCGUUCAUUUCGCUUGCUUUGAAUGCGUAUACAAUGUUGGGUGAAUCGCAACCUAUGUAAUAUUAUAAUAAUCGGGAUAAUUUUGUGCAUAUAGGCAUAUCGUGAUACAAAGCGCGUUUCGUGUAGUAAAUUCACGAUGUUCAUCCGCGAUUUUCGCAUAAGUGAAGUGUACAAAUCAGUUUUUGUCUAGUAAUGAAGAUAACUAAAAAUGUGCAGCUAAUUUUGAUGAAGUUGAUGCGAAACAGUUCAAAGCAGAAAAUACAACAGAUGGAGUAUUGCGAUAUUCUAGCUGGUGCAAUAUACAUUUAACUAGGAUACAACGGCCGGUGAGU
Molecule: non-coding RNA, 451 nt
Organism: Linepithema humile (Argentine ant)
Lineage: Eukaryota; Metazoa; Arthropoda; Insecta; Hymenoptera; Formicidae
Source: RefSeq, a predicted model, not a curated record